GACGAACGCUGGCGGCGUGCUUAACACAUGCAAGUCGAACGGUGAAGCGCCUUCCUUUUUGGUGGGUGUGGAUGAGUGGCGAACGGGUGAGUAACACGUGAGUAACCUGCCCCCUUCUUCUGGAUAACCGCAUGAAAGUGUGGCUAAUACGGGAUAUUCUGGGUCUGUCGCAUGAUGGUUUUGGGAAGGUUUUUGUUCGGUUGGGGAUGGGCUCGCGGCCUAUCAGCUUGUUGGUGGGGUGAUGGCCUACCAAGGCGGUGACGGGUAGCCGGCCUGAGAGGGUGGACGGUCACACUGGGACUGAGACACGGCCCAGACUCCUACGGGAGGCAGCAGUGGGGAAUAUUGCACAAUGGGCGCAAGCCUGAUGCAGCGACGCCGCGUGAGGGAUGGAGGCCUGCGGGUUGUGAACCUCUUUCGCCAGUGAAGCAGGCCUGCCUCGUUUGUGGGUGGGUUGACGGUAGCUGGAUAAGAAGCGCCGGCUAACUACGUG
This 493-nucleotide ribosomal RNA is filed under the name uncultured bacterium. RNAcentral describes it as "partial 16S ribosomal RNA". It matches the Rfam family "Bacterial small subunit ribosomal RNA", at positions 28 to 507 of the family's 1533-position model. The record is from RNAcentral.